RNAcentral lists this ribosomal RNA (643 nucleotides) under uncultured bacterium. RNAcentral describes it as "bacterial SSU rRNA". It matches the Rfam family "Bacterial small subunit ribosomal RNA", at positions 8 to 651 of the family's 1533-position model. The record is from RNAcentral.
AGAGUUUGAUUCCUGGCUCAGGAUGAACGCUAGCGGCAGGCUUAACACAUGCAAGUCGAGGGGUAUAGUUCUUCGGAGCUAGAGACCGGCGCACGGGUGCGUAACGCGUAUGCAAUCUACCUUUCACAGAGGGAUAGCCCAGAGAAAUUUGGAUUAAUACCUCAUAGUAUUAUGAAAUGGCAUCAUUUUAUAAUUAAAGUCACAACGGUGAAAGAUGAGCAUGCGUCCCAUUAGCUAGUUGGUAAGGUAACGGCUUACCAAGGCUACGAUGGGUAGGGGUCCUGAGAGGGAGAUCCCCCACACUGGUACUGAGACACGGACCAGACUCCUACGGGAGGCAGCAGUGAGGAAUAUUGGUCAAUGGGCGCAAGCCUGAACCAGCCAUGCCGCGUGCAGGAUGACGGUCCUAUGGAUUGUAAACUGCUUUUGCACAGGAAGAAACAACAUUACGUGUAAUGUCUUGACGGUACUGUGAGAAUAAGGAUCGGCUAACUCCGUGCCAGCAGCCGCGGUAAUACGGAGGAUCCAAGCGUUAUCCGGAAUCAUUGGGUUUAAAGGGUCCGUAGGCGGUUUAGUAAGUCAGUGGUGAAAGCCCAUCGCUCAACGGUGGAACGGCCAUUGAUACUGCUAGACUUGAAUUAUU